AUCCAGCUGACAAGUCCCAAAUAUGACGAAACGUUUGUCCUGGAU
Molecule: non-coding RNA, 45 nt
Organism: Schistosoma mattheei
Lineage: Eukaryota; Metazoa; Platyhelminthes; Trematoda; Strigeidida; Schistosomatidae
Source: Rfam